This 712-nucleotide ribosomal RNA is filed under the name Thanatephorus cucumeris. RNAcentral's name for it is "eukaryotic LSU rRNA". The stretch from base 259 to 412 matches the Rfam family "5.8S ribosomal RNA". The record is from RNAcentral. Lineage: Eukaryota; Fungi; Basidiomycota; Agaricomycetes; Cantharellales; Ceratobasidiaceae.
UCCGUAGGUGAACCUGCGGAAGGAUCAUUAUUGAAUUAAUGUAGAGUUUGGUUGUAGCUGGCUCCUAAUUAAACUUGGGGGCAUGUGCACACCUUUCUCUUUCAUCCCAUACACACCUGUGCACCUGUGAGACAGAUGUUUUGUGGGGGGGAAGGAACUUUAUUGGACCUUCUACUCCCCCUUGACUUCUGUCUACUUAAUUCAUAUAAACUCAAUUUAUUUUAAAACGGAUGUAAUGGAUGUAACACAUCUAAUACUAAGUUUCAACAACGGAUCUCUUGGCUCUCGCAUCGAUGAAGAACGCAGCGAAAUGCGAUAAGUAAUGUGAAUUGCAGAAUUCAGUGAAUCAUCGAAUCUUUGAACGCACCUUGCGCUCCUUGGUAUUCCUUGGAGCAUGCCUGUUUGAGUAUCAUGAAAUCUUCAAAGUCAAACCUUUUGUUAAUUCAAUUGGUUCUGCUUUGGUAUUGGAGGAUUAUUGCAGCUUCACACCUGCUCCUCUUUGUGCAUUAGCUGGAUCUCAGUGUUAUGCUUGGUUCCACUCAGCGUGAUAAGUUAUCUAUCGCUGAGGACACCCUGUUAAAAAGGGGUGGCCAAGGUAAAUGCAGAUGAACCGCUUCUAAUAGUCCAUUGACUUGGACAAUAUCUAAUUUAUGAUCUGUCUCACAUCAGGUAGGACUACCCGCUGAACUUAAGCAUAUCAAUAAGCGGAGGA